UUCAUAGUUUGGUUUUGAGAGUUCACUCAAAAUUACAUAUUUAUCAGCCGAGAGAUGAGUGAUAUUGUGAGGGGUAUUGACAUUGCAUGAUUGGUUGCUCGAAGGUAAGAAAAGCUUGAUUAGGUAGGCCCGUUUUCAUUUAAAUGUUAUGAUUCGUCAACCUUUUGAUCGUUGUAAGUCUUGCGAAACCGUUGUGUUUAAUGAUUUCGUAGUUCGCGUUAUAAUUUGUUUGAGACUUGCGUUAUUGUUAAGUGUUUAAGUUGAACAUGUUGAUUGGGAUUUUGCAUAAGUCUUUUUCAGGGACGAAAAAGGUUUAAGUGUGGGGAUAUUUGAUGUGGGUUAAAAUACACAUAAUUGUCCCGUGUAAAUUGUCCUGGUGCAAAUGGAGCGGAAAAGAGUAAUAAUUAAAUGACCAGCCAGUUGGGCAGAGUAGAAUGUCAGUGACAGAAACUAAAAUCGCCACUAUUUUCUUUGAUUGAGUCGAGCCCACUUAUCUCUAUAGUAUAAAACAUAGAGGCUUCAUAUGAAACACAUGGGCUGCCAUAUGUACUAAGCCCAGCAAAACCUUUAAAGUCAAGAUAGUGGGCCGCUAAUUUCCACAUACAAGUUCACGAAACAUCAAAUGAGGACCGUUACUUCUAUUUUUUGGGCUUUUGGAAACAAGAAACUAGUGGAUUGAAUAUUAUAGAAACAAAAACCCUAAAGGCCAGGAGAUUGAUUAUAUAGUGGACGUGAAUCAAAGUGAAAGGGAUCCCCUAAUUAAUUUUUCGUAGGGCAGAGGAGGUUGACGGCAGAAACACAACAGCAGGCUGCGAUCAAGAGGAAAGAAAGAAAAGAAAGGAUUGGUUCGAGCUUCAAGCCGCAAUCAAGUUUCAAGUUCGGGUCCUGGUGCAAAUGGAGCGGAAAAGAGUAAUAAUUAAAUGACCAGCCAGUUGGGCAGAGUAGAAUGCCAGUGACAGAAACUAAAAUCGCCACUAUUUUCUUUGAUUGAGUCGAGCCCACUUAUCUCUAUAGUAUAAAACAUAGAGGCUUCAUAUGAAACACAUGGGCUGCCAUAUGUACUAAGCCCAGCAAAACCUUUAAAGUCAAGAUAGUGGGCCGCUAAUUUCCACAUACAAGUUCACGAAACAUCAAAUGAGGACCGUUACUUCUAUUUUUUGGGCUUUUGGAAACAAGAAACUAGUGGAUUGAAUAUUAUAGAAACAAAAACCCUAAAGGCCAGGAGAUUGAUUAUAUAGUGGACGUGAAUCAAAGUGAAAGGGAUCCCCUAAUUAAUUUUUCGUAGGGCAGAGGAGGUUGACGGCAGAAACACAACAGCAGGCUGCGAUCAAGAGGAAAGAAAGAAAAGAAAGGAUUGGUUCGAGCUUCAAGCCGCAAUCAAGUUUCAAGUUCGGGUUUGCAAUUUAUUAUUUUUGGUUUUGUUAGACUUUGUGUUUUACAAAAUUAUAAACAUGUUUUGCUACUCGAUUCAGACUUGUUUCUUUUUCAUGACUAUGAUUCUUGGCUAAACUUUUCAUACUACUUAGGUUGAGAUGAACUAGAGGAUUGUAAUGCGUUUGUGACAUGUUUUCGGUUAUUUGAUGUGAUUUACAUAACUUUUCUU
Molecule: long non-coding RNA, 1603 nt
Filed under: Helianthus annuus (common sunflower)
Lineage: Eukaryota; Viridiplantae; Streptophyta; Magnoliopsida; Asterales; Asteraceae
Description: hypothetical non coding rna
Source: RNAcentral